Molecule: ribosomal RNA, 465 nt
Filed under: uncultured Pelosinus sp.
Lineage: Bacteria; Bacillati; Bacillota; Negativicutes; Selenomonadales; Sporomusaceae
Description: bacterial SSU rRNA
Rfam family: Bacterial small subunit ribosomal RNA
Source: RNAcentral
CCUACGGGAGGCUGCAGUGGGGAAUCUUCCGCAAUGGACGAAAGUCUGACGGAGCAACGCCGCGUGAGUGAAGAAGGUUUUCGGAUCGUAAAACUCUGUUUUCAGGGACGAAUGUGUGGAUUGUAAAUAAUGAUCCAUAAUGACGGUACCUGACAAGAAAGCCACGGCUAACUACGUGCCAGCAGCCGCGGUAAUACGUAGGUGGCAAGCGUUGUCCGGAAUUAUUGGGCGUAAAGCGCGCGCAGGUGGGAUAAUCAGUCUGAUGUUAAAGUUCGGGGCUUAACCCCGUGAAGCAUUGGAUACUGUUAUUCUUGAGUGCAGGAGGAGAAAGUGGAAUUCCUAGUGUAGCGGUGAAAUGCGUAGAUAUUAGGAGGAACACCAGUGGCGAAGGCGACUUUCUGGACUGUGUCUGACACUGAGGCGCGAAAGCCAGGGUAGUGAACGGGAUUAGAUACCCUAGUAGUC